CCUACGGGAGGCAGCAGUGGGGAAUAUUGGACAAUGGGGGCAACCCUGAUCCAGCCAUGCCGCGUGUGUGAAGAAGGCCCUCGGGUUGUAAAGCACUUUCAGUGAGGAAGAACGCCUGGUGGUUAAUACCCAUCAGGAAAGACAUCACUCACAGAAGAAGCACCGGCUAACUCCGUGCCAGCAGCCGCGGUAAUACGGAGGGUGCGAGCGUUAAUCGGAAUUACUGGGCGUAAAGCGCGCGUAGGUGGCUUGAUAAGCCGGUUGUGAAAGCCCCGGGCUCAACCUGGGAACAGCAUCCGGAACUGUCAAGCUAGAGUGCAGGAGAGGAAGGUAGAAUUCCCGGUGUAGCGGUGAAAUGCGUAGAGAUCGGGAGGAAUACCAGUGGCGAAGGCGGCCUUCUGGACUGACACUGACACUGAGGUGCGAAAGCGUGGGUAGCAAACAGGAUUAGAUACCCUUGUAGUC
Molecule: ribosomal RNA, 465 nt
Filed under: Vreelandella stevensii
Lineage: Bacteria; Pseudomonadati; Pseudomonadota; Gammaproteobacteria; Oceanospirillales; Halomonadaceae
Description: partial 16S ribosomal RNA
Rfam family: Bacterial small subunit ribosomal RNA
Source: RNAcentral